Molecule: ribosomal RNA, 492 nt
Filed under: uncultured bacterium
Lineage: Bacteria
Description: partial 16S ribosomal RNA
Rfam family: Bacterial small subunit ribosomal RNA
Source: RNAcentral
AGUGAACGCUGGCGGUAGGCCUAACACAUGCAAGUCGAACGGCAGCACAGUAAGAGCUUGCUCUUACGGGUGGCGAGUGGCGGACGGGUGAGGAAUACAUCGGAAUCUACUUUUUCGUGGGGGAUAACGUAGGGAAACUUACGCUAAUACCGCAUACGACCUACGGGUGAAAGCAGGGGAUCUUCGGACCUUGCGCGAUUGAAUGAGCCGAUGUCGGAUUAGCUAGUUGGCGGGGUAAAGGCCCACCAAGGCGACGAUCCGUAGCUGGUCUGAGAGGAUGAUCAGCCACACUGGAACUGCGACACGGUCCAGACUCCUACGGGAGGCCGCAGUGGGGAAUAUUGGACAAUGGGCGCAAGCCUGAUCCAGCCAUACCGCGUGGGUGAAGAAGGCCUUCGGGUUGUAAAGCCCUUUUGUUGGGAAAGAAAAGCAGCAGGUUAAUACCCCGCUGUUCUGACGGUACCCAAAGAAUAAGCACCGGCUAACUUCGUG